UACGGGGGGGGCAAGCGUUGUUCGGAAUUACUGGGCGUAAAGGGCUCGUAGGCGGCCAACUAAGUCGGAUGUGAAAUCCCCAGGCUCAACCUGGGAACUGCAUCCGAUACUGGAUGGCUUGAAUUCAGGAGAGGGAUGCAGAAUUCCAGGUGUAGCGGUGAAAUGCGUAGAUAUCUGGAGGAAUACCGGUGGCGAAGGCGGCAUCCUGGACCGACAUUGACGCUGAGGAGCGAAAGCUAGGGGAGCAAACGGG
RNAcentral lists this ribosomal RNA (253 nucleotides) under uncultured bacterium. RNAcentral describes it as "partial 16S ribosomal RNA". It matches the Rfam family "Bacterial small subunit ribosomal RNA", at positions 524 to 776 of the family's 1533-position model. The record is from RNAcentral.